RNAcentral lists this ribosomal RNA (746 nucleotides) under fungal sp. 1 SS-2016. RNAcentral describes it as "eukaryotic LSU rRNA". The stretch from base 381 to 534 matches the Rfam family "5.8S ribosomal RNA". Lineage: Eukaryota; Fungi. The record is from RNAcentral.
UUCUUGGUUCUUUUAGGGAAGUAAAAUUUGUACAAAGGUUUCCGUGGGGGAACCUGGGGAAGGGUCCUUUUUGAAAUUGAAAACUUUGGGAAAAGGGGGGGGGGAUGCGGGGCUGUCGCUGGCCUCUUUGGCAUGUGCAUUUCUUGGUCACUUAGAGGAAGUAAAAGUCGUAACAAGGUUUCCGUUGGUGAACCAGCGGAGGGAUCAUUACAGAGUUGCAGAACUCCCAAACCCUUGUGAAUAUACCCGUUACCGUUGCUUCGGCGGGCGGCCCCAGGGCGGGGCCGUUGCCUCCCCGUUGCGGAGGUGCUCGCCAGAAGCCCAACCACAACACUCUUGUCUUACCACGGCAUCUCUGAGUAAAACAUUUAAUAAGUCAAAACUUUCAACAACGGAUCUCUUGGUUCUGGCAUCGAUGAAGAACGCAGCGAAAUGCGAUAAGUAAUGUGAAUUGCAGAAUUCAGUGAAUCAUCGAAUCUUUGAACGCACAUUGCGCCCGCCAGUAUUCUGGCGGGCAUGCCUGUUCGAGCGUCAUUUCAACCCUCAAGCCCUGCUUGGUGUUGGGGCCCUACGGGCUCCGUAGGCCCCGAAAACUAGUGGCGGGCUCGCUAUAACUCCGAGCGUAGUACAAGUAUCUCGCUAGGGAAGUGUGGCGGGCUCUCGCCGUAAAACCCCCAUCUCACAAAAGGUUGACCUCGGAUCAGGUAGGAAUACCCGCUGAACUUAAGCAUAUCAAUAAGCGGAGG